GCCGCCCCGGCCGCCGCCACCAUGGCCUCUGGCAGCAGCGGCCUUGCCGCCGCCCGCCUCCUCUCGCGCUCCUUCCUCUGUGAGUCCGGUUGGGGCGCUCUUUCCGAGCCUCCGCGGCUUCCCGGCCUCGUUGGACCCCGCGCCCCGGUCUAGGCCGGGGCUGGGCCCUCCGGGGCGGGACCUCGGCGGGGGCCCAAAUCCGCGACCCUUUGCAAUGGAGGGAGCUUUGCUGGAUGUUUCGGGUGGGGACAUAGAGUUAUUGAGCCAGGAUUCGGGUCUGGGAGCCCUGCAGACCGGGGAGCACGCCCAUGAUCCCGCGGUGCUGAGUGGUGGGAUGAGGGCUGCAUCUAGAAUUGUUCUUUUGGAGAGAUUUUAGGGUGGGUUCUGCACCGGGAGUCCGCACAGCACAUAAAACUAGAAGCUUAGGCUGGGACCUUAACCAAGUUAUAUCUCCACCACGCGGUGUGAAUCCUUCAGUUCCUGAAAACUUAAUACCCACGCUUGCUGGUAAUGCUGACUAUUGAAAAUUCUUGUUCAAAGUCUCAGUGGUUGUUAGGUAGGUUGUGUAGGAAAAGACUUUGGAAUCAGCCACAUCAAGUUUGAAGUCUGGCUAGUCCUAUACGGUCUAUGUAGUAACUCAGAGGCAUGUUUCUAAAUCUGUUUCUCCAUUUCUCUUUCAAAUCCCAGGAAAAUAACACCAUAUUUUAGUGACCCAGAGAUACCAUCGCUUGUAAGAUGCACUGUUGAUUUGUCCGCCACUAAUGGUGGAAAAUGGUUGCUGAUUAAAAUUGUGACACACCAUUGGUUGUCCGUUGCAUCCUGAUUUAAAGAAUGUUAAAAAGUGAAAGAAAAUGUGCAUCCUAGAAAUGAAGUACAGGAUGAUCUGGGUUCACUAUGCAGAAAAAAUGAAACACUUUAUAUAAAGCACUUGGGGUGUAACAGGCACUUAACCAAAGUUUUCUUCUCUUUCUCUUUCUUCUACUUUGCUUGUCAUCUUAUUGCUAGUGCUGAAUAUUGGAUGAGACUUAAUUUACUGAGAAUACUGCAUUCUAAAAGUGUACGGCUAUGACUGUACACUCUAUAGCUAUGCUUAGCUACCAGAUCACUUGAGGCUAAACUUCGGUAAGUAGGAAGAAAGUUUUCUGGAGAUUUUUAUUAUGUAGCUUAAAAAAAUAAUUGAGGGUGUUGUAGGCAGAAAGAGAAAAGGGAUUGGUUAUACCCACGUCUUUAUCUUCUGGCAUCUUGCUUGUUUGAGUUUCUGAAUCUUUGCCUCAGAGGUCUGCUGUCUUAGGAGAGUCUAGAGAAGAAAGAAAGAUGUCUAAAAGGUCAGGAUCUUGAAUCCACCCUUAGCAAUACUUAACAAUACUUUUCUUGCAGAACUGGAACAACUUUAUUCCUAGACUUUCAGAAUCUUGAGGCCUUAAGAGAUCAUCUAGUUAUCUUCUUGUUGCUAGAGUGGCCUUCAUUUAUCCUACUCAUGUGAUUAGCUGUUAUUAAUAGAGAGAUCUGAGCUAUAAACCAAAGUAUCUCCUAUAUCAGAGAGGUUGCAAACUGCAGGGUUCAUGUUUAAAAACCUCUGACCCACAGCUUUUUCUCCCAUGCCAUAUUUCCAAGCCCACUUCCAAUCCUGCUAGAAAAACAGCAGCCACAACAAUA
RNAcentral lists this long non-coding RNA (1656 nucleotides) under Sus scrofa (pig). RNAcentral describes it as "lncRNA (ENSSSCG00035001996.1)". Lineage: Eukaryota; Metazoa; Chordata; Mammalia; Artiodactyla; Suidae. The record is from RNAcentral.